Paramuricea clavata is the source of this 5522-nucleotide non-coding RNA. Lineage: Eukaryota; Metazoa; Cnidaria; Anthozoa; Malacalcyonacea; Plexauridae. The record is from the annotation of a GenBank genome assembly.
CGCUGUGCUAUUCUGCAGAAGUCCUUUCAGUAGCUCUUCUCGUGAAAAAUUAGUUCUUCGAUUGAAACGGAAAUUCUCUCAGAGCUAAAUUCUUGUUGGUAAGUGAAUAACUUUUCUAAGAGAAAUUUUUAUCUUGUUUGUCCUAAAUAUGUAUUAUUUUGUUAACAAUUAUUUAAUUCCCUUUAGCUGUUCCGCUAUUUUACUUUGCGAGAACGAUCAGUUAUGAAAUCUACGACUAAGAAUCUAUCCCGCCUUUGAAUUCUUUGCCUGGUGGCGUCGGCAAAUACAACGAAGAAGUGAUUGGGUUUCACAACCAAGUAACUCUGUAACGCGAAGCCAUGUAGACGCUGAAUUAGUGGCUCGAUCAGCUUCAAACACGACAACGAGAUGGUUGCUGAAAGAACGCGAGACCCACUGCCACACGAAGCUAGUAUGUUGUGGACGCCCAGACCAGCAUUCGUUACAGCGAGCUUGCAGGAAGACUAACAUUUGUUUCGUCUAUACCACCACCGGUUCUACCGUAGAUUUAAUAAUGUGGACAAGGCUACGAGUACAGCUCAGUGGCCAUGACGCUGUGUCAACGUGCUUCCUACAAUGCAAGGUCAGUAAAACUUUUUCUCAUGAUUAUUUUAAGACAAAUACAACACACAGUCUUUAUUUUUUAUUUGAAUUGCGAUGAGAACUAUGUUUUUCAAAUAAAAUAAAAUUAUUUAAUUGUGCUUUAAGCGUUUGAAAAGUAGGAGAAAGUUGCGGAUUUAGAGAGAUUCAAGAUAUUCAACUGUCCGAAAAAUGCAACAAAACGUUUCGAGCGAAUUCCUUGGUCGAGAAGUUUACUGCCGUGAUGGAUAUUUGCACAUAACAUAUAUUUGUAUGACAAUGUUAAGCUGAUGUAUAACAACGUUUUUAUUUCGUAGUGCUGCAAAUGAAAUAUAUCUUUCCAAGCUAUUAAACUUGUCCUCAAAAUUGAGCGAGUUAUAAUCUGCGUUCCACGCCCGCUCGUGCGGAAAAUUCCUUCAAAAUAAAUUUCUUUCAAAAUCAUAUCUUGACAAUGGAAGCACUGCAUGUCCCACAAUGCCAUGCAGUCAUGUCACGAGGAAGGAGGGAAAAUUAUUUAAACCUCGCUUUAAAAAUUAAACAUUGCUUAAAAGAUUUCUAUAUUGUUUUUCUGAUCUUUUUAUACCAGUAUUCAAACCUGCAAAGGAGCUGUGAAAGCAAGAUAGUUUGAGAGACGUCAAAUAGUACUUCAAGACAAGUCCAGUGUCGAAGUUUCGCUUCGAAGUUCACCGCAACUUGGCGAGGCACAAUUAUUUAACCGACUUCAAACAAGAUGCCUAUAAAACAACUUAUUUAAAGGUAUAUUUUCGCUUAUACUUGUCGUAUUCAUAUACUUAAAGCUUUUAUAUAGUUGCAUGAAUAGUCUACAUGUUUUAAUACGGGCAUUUGAAAGGAAAGUUUGUGAUAAGGUUUGAAAUUUCGAAAUGAAAAUAUGCAUGUGGUGAUGUGGGUUCCAAGACACGUGGCGGAGCCGAAGUAUAAAAGCUUGGUAAAAUGUUUUUGUUUUUCUCUAAUGUUUCUUUCUUGUUAUUACUAUAUAUAUUAUACAUGAAAUGAAACAAAGUUUGUUAUGAAUAAAAGUGUAUUUUUACUUUAGUCUUCUACUGGGGGGGGUUGUACAUGUAUAAGCAAACCCUAUAAACCAAUCCAGGGUGCAUUUCAUUUAUUCGUACUGGAACAGAACAGUACGCCGAGUAUGAUUUGCUAUUCGUACUGCAGUCUGAAUAUUUAAGAUAAACAGACCCCAACCCCCAACCCUUCUCUAAUGUACGAGUCAAAUCUAACUGUGAUCAGCCCCCUCCCCCAGAAACCACAGUCCAACCGCUGAGCAAGUUGUUGUCAAGUGGUCAAAUGCCCAACCUGGCUGUCAAAUUCCUGCUAUACGGAGGUAAUCUUAAGUCAAAUGCGGGGCGGUUGGAUUUAACUUGUAUAUAUCUCUAACCAAUAAAUGUCUAAUAUACUAUUUGCAACUUAAAAAAGUCCUGAAAAAAAAUUUAAAAAUAUUUUAAGAAAAAUGUCAAACAGGAAACCGACAGCAAAAACUUAACCGGACCCGACCUCGUUUUGCUUCACAUGCACGCAGCGCCUUUGCCGCAUAUGCUAGCGGCAAGCUUGCUAAAAGCCAUUGCAAAGAAACUAUUUUAUAUUAUUAAUUUACAAAAUGUAAGAAUUGGGUGACAUACUCCAGUACCAAUAGCCACUUUGUUUAUGUAAAGCCAAUGCUGAAGGUAUGCCAGUACUUGAACAAACUUGCACCAUGUCACAGGAACAAGGAAGCUGCCACACCUAACAUUGAAAAUGUUAUGCCAAUUAGGUUCUAUCACCACUUUCUGUAUCACAGGAAUCUGAGAUCAAUGAUUAAAAAAUGCCAAGAACAACUUGUGCAGUAGUCCAGUCCCAUAUAGACAAUUCUACAGUUAAUCAUUGCCAAAGAUUGUUGGUGUAUAUAUGGCACUUAAAUGCACCCUUGGUAAAUAAAUGUCUAAUAAACAAUUGAGGAGAUGUUUAAAAAAAUUGAGAAAAUAUUUCCAAGUCACACUCUGUUGCCGAUAAGCUAUAAGAGUAGCUCUACUGUGACUUAGCAGGCCAUAAUAUUGAUUGUAUCUGUGUUCUUCUUGAUACUGCCAAGUCCUUUAUUAGUUGUCCAGUGGCUAAAGCAAACAUACACUUUCCAUUUUAGAAAUCUGUGUUUGAAAUACACCUAUAUGAUAAGUUCAAAUGGUAACACAAGAACCUGCAGCAUGGGUUGCCUCAGGUGCAACAGAGUGCUCUCCCUGUCACCAAAAAACAGCUUUAUUGGUUGAACAUCCAGAAUAAUUGUCCUGUAUAUAUAUUCAGGUAUGUUUCAUGUUAGCCUUCAAACUUCAUUGAAUAUAAAUUUUGAGCACUAUUUAUUCAACCAAUUUGGUGUUGAAUAGUGACUGACCGAUAAUUGUAAUCUGGCCCAUUCUUGCCUUAUCAGGUGAGUUCAUAUGAAUUAUGUACAAAUUGGGACGAAGAUGUUACUUUCAAGUAUUUAUCUUAAUGUUGUUUCUUUGUUAUGGGCAGACACAAGUGAUGAAUCAUGAAGUGUAUCAAAGUGGAGAACUCAGCAAAUUAUCCACUGGUGGUCAAAGAGACAUUCUAAAAUGAAGACCAAUUAAUGUCAGCAAGUAUCAGGAUGUUUGGAAAAGAAUGUAUUAUACCAAUGGAAAUAUUCAAUUGCUCAACUGGCUAAUGAAGAUGUUACAAAACUGACAAUGUGCAAUUUCAAAAUUAUUUUGUGGUCAGUGAUGCAAAUACAGUAUAUGGAUCUUGAACAGGUAAAUAGAGUAACCAAUCACAUACACCCUGUUUCAUGUCUUGGAUCAACCUAAUAGUAUUUAACCUAUUCCCCCUGACAACUAAAAUAAUUUGGCAUUAGACAGUGAGAGUAAAAUAAUGUGUGGUGCAUCUACUGUAGGUUCAUAAUCGGCUGACAAUCUGUUUAUAAUCUUUAAGAACUGUCUAGGCUGGGCUGUUCUUGAAAAAAACAGAAACCGAAAACCGUCAAGAAAAAAUCGGAAAAACCGGUUUUUAAUCUAUAAAUGACACACAGCCAUAAAAUGGUGUAGCAUGUGUAUUUAUUAUGUGAAUAAUUUCGGUUUUAGAUGCUUGUAAUAUCAAAAGCUUUAUAGGGCCAAAAAAAAAAUAUGUGGGUUUCCGGUUUCUUCUUAUAAAAACUUAGGUAGGGUAGGUCGGUUUUAACUUUUUUUUUAACUUUUUUUUUAUUUUUCCGAAUAAGCGGAUGCCACUUCCACAUCCAAAGAUAAAUUUCCCUAAUAUUGCCUCAAAUUUCAAUUUUCCACAAACUUUUUCCUCUAAGUGGAAACAUUUACAAGCAUAAUACACUAAAAAAGUUUAGGGUCGGGAUUUCGACGUCCAAAAGCUAGGUAGGGUCGGGAAACCGGAAACCCACAUAUUUUUUUUUGGCCUAGGUAAAAGGUAUAAAAAUACAAGUAAGAAGACAGUGUUAAAAGAAUGUAUUUUUAUCUCCUUUUGUCCUGGUUCUUUCCGGUUUUUCGACACUUGGACUUCGGCAAAACCGGAAAAAAGUUUUUCAAUGCCCCAGGGCUGGUUGUUGAAAAGCCGGUUAUCCUAACCCUGGGUUAACACAAAUCUACAAAUUAAGUUUUCCAACAGUUCAUCAAUCAAGUUCAAUAUGUUUUUCCAGAAAUCUUUUCUGGUUCAAUAGAGGUUUUAUUUCAUAAAGUUUUGAAACGAAUGAUCAUGCAGAAAUACAUAAACAAAAACAGCAGGUUAAAAUUUAACCCAGGGUUAGCACUAAUUGGGCUUUGAACAACCGGCCCCCAGCCUAGAAUUGUCUGUGUCAGUGUAGAUAGUGCCAAUAUAACAAUUGAACAAGCUUUCGUUGAACAAGCUUAGGAGAAUUUUGAUGUUUCAGUGUUUGGAGUUACUUGCCUAGUAGCACUUGAAACGUUGAGAAUCUUUAGUUAUUAUAUUUUCAGCUAGUGUAUCCCCACCAACGAAAGCUUGUUCAUGAUAGUUGGGUUUCCUAGCAUUAAUGCAUUACACUCUUCCACGAGUAAAUACAAGAAAAAAACACAAUAAAGAUAAGUGAGUAAAUAAAAAAAAAGUCAAAUAUAUUUUUCGAAAGUGUUAUUUCUCAUGAAGAAAAAAGUUGCCUGUGUAGGAAGGAAUGUGACUGGAUGCCCAUAUGCCCUAGCUAUAUACUGAAGUCUGAGGUUGUCUAGGAUCCAGUAUUCCUGGGGCCAUGUGUUCAAAUGUGCCAGGUGGGUUAGCGCUAACCCUGGGUUAAAAUGUAACCUACUGUAAAUUUUAGUUUGUGUAUUUCUGCACAUCUGUUCAUUUCAAAACUUCAGAAAAGUAUAGACUCCUAUCAAUCCAGACAAGAUCUCUGAAGAAAUAUUUCCAAAUUUAUAGACAAGCUGUCAGGAAGUUUGCUUUGAAUUUUAGGUUAACCUAGGGUAGCUCUAGGUUAACCUAAAAUUCAAAGCAAACUUCCCAACAGCUUGUUUAAAAAUUUGGAAAUAUUUCUUCAGAGAUCUUGUCUGGAUUAGCAGGAGUUUUUCUCUGAAGUUUUGAAAUAAACAUUGGUCUGCAGAGAUGCACAUUAUCAAACUAAAACGGCAGGUUAUAUUUGAACCGAGAACUACAGUAGCACUAACCUACCUUUAAACAACCAGCCGUAGAAGUGUUGGAAUAGCCAACAUAAUUUCUAAUCAUCAUAAUUUUUAACUACAGACAAUAAAUUGGUAUCGUGAAGUGGACAGGAUCAUUCUGGGUGCAAACAAACCAAAUUAAAUUGUUCUGGUGCAAACAAACCAAAUUAAAUAGUUCUGGUGCAGACAAACAAAAUUAAAGGGAAUUUAUGACUACAAGGUACCAAACUUUUUUUAGUUUAAAUCAAAAGUAACUUAGGCUGAGGCACCUUGGGAAAAUAACUAAAAACAAAAAUGUGUUUUGUG